AAUGGGGGCAACCCUGAUCCAGCCAUGCCGCGUGAGUGAAGAAGGCCCUAGGGUCGUAAAACUCUUUCGCCUGUGAUGAUAAUGACAGUAGCAGGUAAAGAAACCCCGGCUAACUCCGUGCCAGCAGCCGCGGUAAUACGGAGGGGGUUAGCGUUGUUCGGAAUUACUGGGCGUAAAGCGCACGUAGGCGGAUUAGAAAGUUAGAGGUGAAAUCCCAGGGCUCAACCCUGGAACUGCCUUUAAAACUACUAGUCUAGAGUUCGAGAGAGGUGAGUGGAAUUCCGAGUGUAGAGGUGAAAUUCGUAGAUAUUCGGAGGAACACCAGUGGCGAAGGCGGCUCACUGGCUCGAUACUGACGCUGAGGUGCGAAAGUGUGGGGAGCAAACAGGAUU
This 392-nucleotide ribosomal RNA is filed under the name uncultured Gammaproteobacteria bacterium. Its description in RNAcentral is "bacterial SSU rRNA". It matches the Rfam family "Bacterial small subunit ribosomal RNA", at positions 370 to 779 of the family's 1533-position model. Lineage: Bacteria; Pseudomonadati; Pseudomonadota; Gammaproteobacteria. The record is from RNAcentral.